This is a long non-coding RNA of Sus scrofa (pig), 3906 nucleotides long. RefSeq lists it as uncharacterized. The record is from RefSeq and is a predicted model, not a curated record. Lineage: Eukaryota; Metazoa; Chordata; Mammalia; Artiodactyla; Suidae.
GGUGAGUAAGAAAAAGCGAAAGCUUCCUUCUUUUCCUUCCUGUUUCUCGGGCCCCCUGGGGGAAGCACAGGAGCCUCUCGCAUCCUCACCCCAGCGCAGCUUUAAAGAACAGAAACCAGAACAGCCAUGAGAGAUGUCUCGUUCCAGCUGGGACUGUUGUCUUAAAGCACCCCAGGAGCUGGAGGGGACCCUACGGUGCUGCGUGCACAGGGGUUGCCGAGCCUCCUCCUGAAACAUGUCCUGGCAGCUCAAAGCCCACUCUUUGCAAAGCGGCCCUUUCCAUCGCUGUGUCGCCCUCGUCAUUUAAAAGUUCUGCAUCCUGCGUCUCAAGGCCAUUUGCCACGCAUCCGAAGGCUCUUUUUGGAGCUGCGCAGAAUCCACACCCUCCUCACCUGCCUGGCAGCCUUUCCCAGUCUUUAGAGAGGGAUAGAACCCCUUGAGUGAUUCCAAAGCUUCUACCGGCCCAGCCCUGAUUCCUCACAUACUUAGUCUUUCCCAAGUGGGCUGGCCAGAUGGGCUCGGCCCUCCAGAUAAGAUCAGACACUGCCUGUGCCUGGUACAUCAUCUCCCCAUCUCUGGACCUCUAAACGUUAUUAGCUCAGAUGUUUUUCUUUUUCUUUUUUUUUUUUUUUUUUUUUUUGUUGUUGUUGGCCGUACCCAUGGCAUAUGGAGGUUCCUGGGCCAGAGAUCGAAUCCUAGCUGCAGCUGCGACCUAUGCGACUGUGACACAGCUUCGGCAACGCCAGAUCCUUAACUCACUUCGCUGAGCCAGUGAUCAAACCUGAAUCUCAGCAGCAACACCAGCCGUUGCAGAGACAAUGACGGUCCCUUAACUCACUGCCCCACAGUGGGAACUCCAGUGAUAUUCUUUUUAAAUAAGCAGUACUCAGAGUUCCCGUCAUGGUGCAGUGGAAACGAAUCUGACUAGGAACUAUGAGGCUGUGGGUUCGAUCCCUGGCCUCGCUCAGUGGGUUAAGGAUCCAGCGUUGCUGUGAGCUGUGGUGUAGGUUGCAGAUGCGGCUCAGAUCUUAUGUUGCUGUGGCUGUGAUGUUGGCCGGCGGCUACAGCUCCGAUGAGACCCCUAGCCUGGAAACCUCCAUAUCCCGCAGGUGUGGCCCUAAAAAGGCAAAAAGACAAAAAAUAAAAAAAUAAAAAAUAAUAAAUAAGCAGUACUCAACGAGGGAGAUACAUUUCCUGUCAUCGGACAGAGCGUGGGCAUGAAAGAGAUAAGGCCAGCAAGUCUGCCUGCCUCCAGACCUCCUGGAUGCCGGGAUCUGGCCGUAAAGACCCUUCUGUGUGGGAGAAUUCAUGCAGAUGGCCAUGUCACGUGGCCAAGGCCAAAGCGCCCCCAGACAGAGCAGGGAUAUAUUGCCAGGAGCAGAGGGCUGAGCCGGCGGAAGGCAGGUGGGUGUGGCAGCGAGAGGCUGCUGGAAAAAAGGAGGCAGGAAGGACAGAGGCGCGGGGGGCGGGGGUGUUUAACACAUGAGGACCAGCGAGGACAGAAGAGGGGAGCGUUAGCUCAGCAGCACGGAGACCGUGACCUCGCCGCCCUGGCCAGGGAACCCUUGCUCCCGUCAGCAGGUCGAGCCCGGGAGCAAAGAUCAAUGCACAACGUCCAGUCUGCUGGGACCUAGUGGUGCCCUCCUCAACGGCACUAUGCACGAUCUGUGGGCAGGGCUGGGUUCUCAGCAUGGCCCCCUUUUUUCUGCACCCUGGUAAGAACUCUAACGAGGCAAACUGCAGAGGAGAACGGGGUCCCACCUGCCACCCCCUGUUCCCUGGGUGGGGAUGGGUGUGUCUGAUGGGCUGCCCGCCUCCUCCAGGCAGGCCACCUGGGCUGGGCCAGCUCCGAAAGCCCUGACCUCUGGCUUCUUCAUCUGGCUCGCCCACCAUGGCAAUGCUGCAGUUGGGGGCCUGGCCUGGCUGUAAUGCGGCACCCCUUUAUCUUGCCACCAAUGGAAGGUGACACCAGAAGAGGAAAAACGAGAAGCAGGACACACCUGUUCAGAGGGGCAGGGUCAAAUGCUGCAGAUAUUUCCAAACUGAGUCACCACGAGGAAGCACUGUGCGCGUUCCUUGGUCCCACACUCCGCCCCCCGCCCCGCCCCUCUCUCUCUGAGCACGAAAGAGGAAAUGCCAGCUUUGAAUUGGAGGUUUGCUGGGGACUAAAUGAACUCGGAGCUUCACCAAGAAGACCUAAUGUAGAUACUUCACUGGAAAAGAAAAAUUUCAGCCUGAGAAACAGGUCAUGUGUCCGAAGCCCCUGCGGCACCCUGGGGAAGCUUGCUUAUUACCAGCUGUAAAUGAGGUUCAUUUGGAGGGGGGAGCCUGCCACCUUUUCAGAGUGAAUUCGGAGGUGACAAUCAGGCUUAGCUUUCUUCCUGAUGGUGGGUAAGCCCUGCUAGACCUGAGUCCUCAACAGGGAGUCACCUGGGAGCCUGCUGACUCAGCCUUGUCUAUGAAUUACGACGUCACUGAUGAAGUUCUCGACAGAGGCACUUGCUCCAACUAAAAUUUCACAGUCAACACCAUUAAAAACACCGUCUCUACUGGCUGCAGGCCACCAUACUCUGCUCUCCAUGUUUAAUUUACUAUUUAGUUGCCAGCACACUCUGGAGCACUGUUUAAACCUAGCCUCCGCUAGAAUGAUGUCUUCAGUUACGCUAAGAGACACAACCGGAACUGAGAAAGCUGGAAUCAGGAUUCGGUGACUUUUCAGAAUUAAAACAUGCGUGUCCUAGCCAUCGUCCAACUCACUGCUGACAAGGAAAUUCCGCUGAAUGGCUAACUUGGCCCCAAGAGAAGACACCAUCCCCCAGUGCAAGCAAGCUCGCUGUACCCGCUCAGAAGAGCUGUCACUUACCUUCAAAACUCUUGUCUGAUUCUGCAAGUCCGUGAUUCAGUUCUUGAACACUCUUCCCACGAAGGAGUCCGUAGGUGAUGAUCACACUCCCGUUUGAAGAAGAGUCGCGAAUGGCAAUUGUACUGCGGAUCCAUUCUUGAGUGGCAAGGAUGGAUGAAAUGACCACGAAAGCCCCCAAGCUGGUGACAAAGCUGGAGAAGAACAUCAAUGUCUUCUUCACCGUGGGCAUGUUCUCUGGAAAACAAGGGUCCUGGGAUGAAAAAGGAAAGCUCUUUCUAUGAGACGUUCGUACCUACUCAUCUGAAGUCCCCUGUGUAGAAAUGGCCUCGGAUAUGUCGCGUCGAAUAUAAAACCGGGCUCUCGGGAGGAUGGGUUAGCCUCACGGACUCUGAACAGGAUCAUAAAGAUUUACAGCGCUGGACUUUGGGCUGGAGGAAGACGUUUCUAUGGUGACAGCCAACCAGCAGAAACAAGGGCUGGACAUGCUCUUUGGGAGACUUCCUCAAUCACACAAUUAAUUUGUAACUCCUUUUCAUGGGCCUCGGAAGCAAGGUCGGCCCGACAUUUCAGGACAGGCCUGGAAUUCCUUCUAAAUAAUGAUGGAAACAAAAGGCCUUUCCUGCCCUUCCCCCCACCCCCAUAUUACUGAUUCUAGCAGCCAACAAAGACUCCCAACUGCCAAGGGUUAAUGACUGGACCCUACCAGUGGUUCCCAAAGGAAAUCCUAAGGGGAUGCAGCCUUAGUAAGAAGGGUACUGGGGAGUAGAGCAAGUUGACACUUUUGUUUUUGGACCUUGUUAAAGAAGUGCGGCUUUCCAGUUGGAGCGUACCUGUGUGUUAUUUAAAAAACUGGAUACGUUUCAUCUUUCUGUCGCUUCAGUUCUCUGAAUGGAAGGGGUUCUGAAUGUUCCUGCCUUCUAGCCAUUCUCUGCUGAGCAGCAAAUAGUUUGUCAAAGGUCAUUGCUGGCUCUCAGGGAAACCCCUUCAAUGGGAAGAAGUUCAUUUCUCAAGAUAACAAAUAAAGGUUCACACCAUAUGCUGUA